GAUGAACGCUGACAGAAUGCUUAACACAUGCAAGUCUUUGGCGAAUCUGUGCUUGCACAGGCUAGCCAGGGCGGACGGGUGAGUAACGCGUAAAGAACUUGCCCUGCUGACAGGGAUAACAGACGGAAACGACUGAUAACACCUGAUACAGUUGACGGCACGCAUGUGCCUGGCCAUGAAAAGAGAUGCUGCAGGAGAGCUUUGCGUCCUAUUAGCUUGUUGGUGAGGUGACGGCUCACCAAGGCGAUGAUAGGUAGCCGGCCUGAGGGGGUGAACGGCCACAAGGGGGCGGAGAUACGGCCCUUACGCCUACGGGGGGCAGCAGUGGGGAAUAUUGGACAAUGAGGGCAGCCCUGAUCCAGCAGUUCUGUGUGCACGAAGAAGGUUUUCGGAUUGUAAAGUGCUUUCAGCAGGGAAGAAGAAAGUGACGGUACCUGCAGAAGAAGCGACGGCUAAAUACGUG
RNAcentral lists this ribosomal RNA (463 nucleotides) under uncultured bacterium. Its description in RNAcentral is "partial 16S ribosomal RNA". It matches the Rfam family "Bacterial small subunit ribosomal RNA", at positions 28 to 507 of the family's 1533-position model. The record is from RNAcentral.